AAAUAUCACAUCUCACACAAGGAGAGGCUCCGGGUCCAGCACUGCCACAUCAAGCACCUGGCAGAGAGGCUAUGGACAUUUUUCUCUAUGGUGAGUGUGCGGCUGAUGUAUCAUUUGUGGGUGACCACAUGGAGACAGUUUAAGAUUGUGAUUCCACUUUCCUGUUGAUAAGGAUGGAAGAUUCAUAAGGAAUACUGUUCCUCAAUUCUUCUGAGUGAUGUUAUAAACAUGAUGGCUUCUGAGCAGUCUGAAUGAUUUUUAUAAUCACCAAAGCAGAAUAACUAGGAGGUCAGAGUGG
Molecule: long non-coding RNA, 298 nt
Organism: Erinaceus europaeus (western European hedgehog)
Lineage: Eukaryota; Metazoa; Chordata; Mammalia; Eulipotyphla; Erinaceidae
Exons: 3
Source: RefSeq, a predicted model, not a curated record